This 12880-nucleotide long non-coding RNA is filed under the name Populus trichocarpa (black cottonwood). Its description in RNAcentral is "long non-coding RNA (PTRI_LNC000282)". The record is from RNAcentral. Lineage: Eukaryota; Viridiplantae; Streptophyta; Magnoliopsida; Malpighiales; Salicaceae.
CUGUUACAACACGAAAAACGAAGUUACUGUUACAAAUAAAAGUAAGAUGAUUGAUUAUUUUGUGCAGAAUAUGAAUGGAGUUGGAACUGUGAUUAGUGAACAUUUAUGCAGGGACUGCUUUAGUCCCAAACUGUUUUACUGAAUUUUCCAGAACUUUCAAAACUAUGUUUCUUUGCAUUACUAAAAAAUUUAAGAGAAAAAAACCUAUAAUAAGGCAGGACAAUUUUGAAAUAAUUGAACAAUUUCCAUUAACUGUUCAAAGUGGACAGCUAGCUUCAACAGGAAAAAGAGGAAGGUAAACACCACUUAUGACAAGAGCACAUAAUCUGACAUACUAAAUUCAAGCUUCCAAACACUUAUAUUAUUGGCUUAAAGGGGUCACCUGAUGGGAAGUCCUACAAUUCUGAGCUAAAGGUUCUUCCAAUACUCAUAGGAGGCUAUUUUAUUUUCAGGGUAACCAACUAAACAAAGUUUUAUCACAUAUAUAUGACUAGAGAAGAUAGAAAGUAUCUUUCUAACCUAUGAAUUUAACAUGCUGGUACCUUGAAGAGAUAAUGCUCCAAAUAUUAUGCACAAAAUAUAGACAAGGUAAUCCUUACCAGGAUCUUUCUCCGAUGGCUUCAAUAUAAAGGUGUUACCACAUGUUACAGCAACAGGGAACAUCUGCAGCCAAAAAGGAGCACACAUUUUUAAAUUUUUUUUUUCUCUGGAAACUCAAGAUUUGCUCACAAAUCAGAAAAUCUUUAUAUGUUUGUACACUUGUGAAACAUGAUCAACUUCAAGAUGAAGCUAGAAGUUGGCCCAGUUAACUGCAUCCUUUCAUCUUAAGAAAAAGAUUUAAGUUACAUCUUUGUAAUAAUGAUAUAGCAGGCAUCCCAAAUGCAUGGACAGAAAAAAUUGCGAAGAAUACUGAAGGCUUACCCAUAAGGGAAUCAUUGCUGGGAAGUUGAAAGGGCAAAUCCCAGCACAUACACCAAGUGGCUCUCUGAUGCUAAAGGUAUCAAUUCCAUUUGACACAUUAGGGACAUACUCACCCAUCUGCAAAGUCGCCAUUCCACAAGCAUGUUCCACCACCUCUAUAAGAGAAAAAAUUCAAAAUUGAGAGAGCAUAUAUGCAAUCAACUACAAUUUUGAACCAAAAGAGACUUUAGGAACAGUAAAUAAAUAAAUAAAAGACUAACCUAGCCCACGGAACACAUCACCAUGAGCAUCCUUCAAGGUCUUCCCCUGUUCAGUAGUAAUAUUCAUCGCAAGCUUAUCCUAGAACAAGAUCACAGUAAUUCUAACCAUCAAACGAAACCUAUUAAAAAAUAAUACAGAUAAAAAGCAACAAUGACGAAAAAUUCUAGCAUGCUUACAAUGUCUCUACGAAUAAGCUCUUGGAGCUUGAGCAUGACACGCUGACGAGUCGUAAUUGGCGUGUUACGCCACGCCGGAAAAGCCUGCUUUGCUGCAGAGACUGCAGCUCUGAACUCUUCGUUCGUAGUAAAAGGAACCCGUGACACGGCUUCUUGUGUUGCCUAACCCCAUAUACCAAUCCAUUAAACCCAAAACAAGUUUCAAUCAUCACUAAAAACAAAGAAAAACAUAGUAACAAUAAUAAUAUAUACUCACAGGAUUUAUCACAUCAAUGGUUGAAGAUGAUUGCGAAUCAACGAAUUUUCCUCCAAUAAGAUUGGGGACUCUCUGAUACAGCACACAAACUUGUAAGAAAUUAUAAAACAGAAGAAAAGUUUCUCGAGUUUUUGAAGAACUUCCUGAGAAACCAAACAGACCAUAAAGCACCGAACAUAUGCGUGUGUACGUAUAGAUUUAUAAUGGGUAUAUUACCGGAGGGCUAGGUAGGCUUGAAGAAGGCUCAGCUGCACCAGUAGAGAAACAAUAAGAGCUUCUUAAAGCAAAGAUCGAAGGCUUCAAGGCCUUUAGAUUUCUCGCUGAAACACCAAAAGAAAAGGAAUCAAAAUAAAUCAAUUUUGUAACAAAUAAAAUAAAACAGAUGAUUGAUGAUUAGUUACGCGCAAGUUGCUUACCUCGUUGAAUCGAGGAUCGAAGAAGCAACAUCGUUUUUCUUUUUGUUUCUACUUGCUUUGAUUCAGUGACUCUUUGACGACACUGUUUUUAGUUUAGGCGAAAUGUCUGUUUCUUCAAGAGGAUGUCACAUAGUAUAAUCCUUUUUUAAAUGCAUGCCUACUUGUUAUACUGCGAGAGUGAUUAGUGUUAUGACUAGAUUUUUCUCCCGCAAGUUAAAUCAUGCUGAUCUUAGAAAACAGUGACAUCAUGACAAACAAAAAUUUUAAUCAUGAAAAAUUAAAAAUAAAAUAGUAAUUCAAAUAAUAAAGAUAAAAUCUGUUAUAAAAACCAAUAAAAAAAUAACAAGGAAUUAAAUUGAAAAAUUAAAAAAACCAAAAUUAAAUAAAAAAUAAAUGAAAUAAAAUGUUAAGGAAUAAAAUAAAAAAAAAUUAAAAAAAUGAUAUAAAAAAAGAAAUUAAAAAAAUAACAACCAAAUUGGAUAAACAUAAAUGAAAUAAAAUAUCAAGAGAAAAAAUUAAAAAAAAUAAAAAAAAUAAAAAAAAAUAUAUUAAUUAAAAGAAUAAGUAUCAUAUUUGAUAUAAAAAUUAAAUAAAAUUAAAUGAAAAUUAAUAAAAUUAAAAAAAAAUCCAAAAUAAAUAAUAUAUUAGAAAAAAAAGAGCCACAGUUGAAAGACAAAAAAAUGGGAAGACAACUUUGUAUUUUGGCUAUCCAGCGCGGAUUUCAAGAAGAGAAGAGAGGGAAGAAAAAAAAAUCUCACCAUUGCAAAUUUCACUACACACGCCGUCAUUGGACAUUUUAAAUGACAAGGCAGUUGGGCUUUCUUGGACGCCAAAAGUCGCCGCAUGUACUGUCCAAAAAGCAUGGGUAGCGUUUACUCAUGGGCACGUGUAUUACAUCUAUCAGUUACUUUUUCUUUUUAUUUAUUAUUUUUAUUUGUUAAAAGAUUAAUUCAUCUCUAAUUCAAAUAGAUUAUAAUAAAAAAAAAUCAUGAUGAAACAAUGAAACUACUCCUCCACGUCUUCUUUAAUUUUUUGACUUGAAAAGCCAUAAUUUUACUAUUUUUAAAAAAUAAAAUGACGCUGAAGCUCCUCUUAACCUUUCAUCAUUUGUUUUUGAUUUUUAAAAGCAUUUAUAUCAUUUAACUUGGCAAAAACAAAAAAAUGAUAAACAAUUAUAAUCACGGUUAAUUUUAUAAUGACAAAUAAAGUCAUCAGAAAAGAUAAUUUUAACCUCGAAGAACGAUCAUUUGAUUUUUUCCUAUUGGAUUGGUAGGGAAAAUCAUAUAGUUUUGGCAGCCAUUGUCUGGAAUAUUGUUGGGGAAAAUCAAUAUGGUUGGUAUUUGCAGAAUUGAACUUUCACAUCUGGGACCCUUCUCUGGAUAAAUCUUUCCCGGCACAUUGAGGUUGAGUUCUUCAGCAUUUUUUGUCCCUGAAUGCACUUGAACACAAAAAGCUCCGGCAUGAUAGUUCUUUGAGUUUGUUUAACCCCUUUCACAGGGCAUUGCCUGGAUUCUUUUCCCUCAUUAUUUCCUUCAUGCUUCACCGUUUUUUAAAGCUUGUAUGGCUCUCUACCUCUCUGAUUUCUUCCAUGUUGCUUUCGAGUGGCUUUCAACAAGGCAAGUCUCUCUUCCUUCCCCUCAUUCAACAAGCCAUCUGACUCUGUUUCUUUCUUUAUAGUCUUUUUGUGUUGAUGAUUUGUUUCUCUUCUCUGUCUCGAAACCAUUCCAAUGGUUAUUUGCGUUCAUUCUGCUCGCUUUAUGCCAUGCUCUUUGAUGUUUUAAGUUUGUAAUUCUUUGCCAUCUAUUAGCUUAUGUGAUGAGUAUAUUCCAAGAAUAUCUACCUUCUCAGAAUAUAUAUGAAGUUAUAUAUAUUUUGAAAUAGAAUUAUAAUUAAUCAACAAUUAUUUUGUUAAUGCUGUUGGCUUUUGCUUAGCUAUAGUAUCUGCUUUUGCUGUAAUUGUGACGGUAAUUAUUGCUUUUGACAUCUGUUUAAUAAAAAAAUAAUGGUAAAAAAUGCUGUACAUUAAUUGUAACCGUUGACUACAAGCACAAAAUUCAUAGAGUAUGCUAACGACAAAGAAACCUUGCUCGUGCACUUCGCCAUCCCUGCCAGAAUCCAUGAAAAAACCUACAAGGAGAGGUCGAAGCAAGCCAGGAUGCAUGAAUUUACUUCUCAAAACUUCACCGUUUUACAAUGCAGUUUUUAUACACACACGAAUAUACAUAUUUUAUAUUUUUUUACUCAUCCUAAUGCUUUUUUAAUUAACAUAAAUUAUAAAAAAAAUAUAAAAUAAAUCAUAUUUUAUUUAAUCAACUAAUUCUCUUCAACAAUGAUUUAAUAAUAUGAUAGAAUAGAAAUACAAUCAUAAAAGAAUCUCAUGUAUUAGUUCUUAGUAAAGAUAAAAUGCUAAAAGUUCACAAAAAUUUAUAAUAUAUUUUAUUAUAUAAAUAAAAAAAAUGAGAGAUUAAAUAAAGUAAAUUAUCAUAAAAACUCAAAAAUAAUAACAUAAAGAAGGUAUAUGGACCAAAGUUGAGCUCAUAAAAAAUUCAGCUUUGUCCAAUCUGACUUGGAUCAAGGUCCAAGACAGCACGGCCGAUUAUAUAAAUCAUGUUUUAAAAUUCAUGCAAUCAUGUUUGGGUUUCGACACAUAAGCAUCAUUAAGCUUUAAAAUCUUUUUUUUUUUACCAUCAAAAAAUAAAAUUUAAAAUUUAUAGUUCUUAAAAUUCAAAUAAGCUUAUCUCCAUACUCUAGAGAUAAAAUGGUUGAACGUUGAUGUGGAUUGAGUCUUACGUUUAAAAACCAAUGUUAAGAUUCCUAUUCCUUGUGUCCAGGUCAUGCCCGCGUGCAUUGACUUUUUUUUCACUUUAUAUAUACAAGUGGCUAAUUUAUUACAAUAUUAUUCUUCACUGUCGACUACAACAGUAAUUCAUAUUUUUUUUUUACUAUUUUUUUUUUUUUUUUCAAAAUUACUUUUUUUUUCAACUUUCCUAUUUUUUCUUUUUUUUUUCAUUUAUUUUUUCUUUUGUUUUUUCCAAAAUUAUUUUUUUAUUUUACUUUUUAAAUAUUGAUCUGAUUAAAAUUUUUGCUUUGUAAUUUUUUUCUUUAAAAUACUGUGGAUUGAUGCGAUGUUUUUCCACAUAAUUUUUCUAUUUUAUCUCUUUAUUUUUCAAAAUUAUAUUUGUCGAUUUUUUUUUAAUAUGGAGCUGAUUGAAAAUUUAGUUUUGUAAUUUUUUUUCUUUUAAACAUCGUUGAUUGCUACAGUGUUGUCAAUUUUAUCUUUUUAAUAUUAAGCUGUUUAAGAAUUGCAAUUACAAGUAAAUACAAGUUUUUCCUCACAAAACAUUAUGGAUUGAUACAGUUUUUCCUCACAUGGUUUUUUUCCAGUUUCUUUUGUGUUUUCUUUUUUUGUAAUAUUUUUUUCCAAAAUUAUCUUCGUCGAUUUUAUUUUUUUUAAUAUUGAAUUGGUUAAAAUUUAAUUUUGUAAUAAAGCUUAAUCAUGUGGGGAAAACAUUGUAACUUUUCUCAUAGAACAUUGUGGAUUGCUACAGUGUCUCUCCGCAUAGUUUUUUUUGUUAUAAUUUUUUUCAAAUUAUCUUUUUUAAUUUUAUUUUUUUAAUAUUGAGUUAUUUGUGAAUUACAAUUACAAGUCAUUACAAAUAAGGCUAAAUCAUGUGGAGAAGCACUGUAGCUUUCAUCACAAAACACUAUGAAUUGCUACAGUGUUUCCAACAUGAUUUUUUUUCCUUUUUUUGGUGUUUGUUUUGUUAUUUUUUUUUAAAUUGUCCCUGUUUUUUUUUUUUAAUAUUGAGCUGAUUAAGAAUUUAGCUUUGUAAUUUUUUUUCUUUAAAACACUGUGAAUUGUUGCAGUGUUUUCUCAUGUGAUUUUUUUAUGAUUUUUUCCAAAAUUAUCUUUGUCGAUUUUUUUUUUAAUAUUGAGUUGGUUAAGAAUUAUAAUUACAAUAAAGCUAAAUCAUAUGAGGAAAGCGUUGUAGUUUUUCUCACAAAACACUGUGGAUUGCUACAAUAUUUCUCUAAAUGGUUUUUUAUUUUAUUUUAUUGGGAAAAGUGCUAUAGUUUUCCUCACAAAACAUUGUCAAUUGCUGCAACGUUUUUUCUCAUGGGUUUUUUUCCUUCCAAAAUUAUCUUUGUUGGUUUUUUUUUAAUAUUAAGUCGGUAGAGAAUUUAGCUUUGUAAUUUUUUUUGCUUUUUAUUAACUGAAAAGCUAAAUCAUGUGGCGAAAGCACUGUAUUUUUCCUCACAAAACACUGUAGAUUGCUACAAAUCAUUUUGUUCAGUCUUUAAGUUUUUGAUCACCAACACAACUUUUUUUUCCGUCAUGAAAUAUUUGCUCCAUCAUACCUUUAAUUUCUAUUACUUAUCUAGUGUUGGUUCACAAUUAUAACACUAUCAAGUACAUUUGUUUUAUAAGCCCGUGGCAGCGCGCGGACAUGUCAUCUCGUUAAAGAACUCUAAAAGGCGUGGGGAAAGCACUGUGCUUUCCCCACGCCUUUUAACUUUCCCCAUUAUUAUAAUUAUAUAAUUAUAUUAUUAUUAUAUUAUUAUUAUUAUCAUAUUAUAACAUAUCCUAAAAAAUACUGUAGCUAUUUUUUUUGUUUUUAUUUUUUUUAUUAUUUUUCUUCUAAUGAAUUUUUUUUUAAUUUAGUUUGUUAAUGUUAAAUUUUUUUUAUUGAGUUAUCAGACUUUCAUGAUACGGAUCCCGGGUUUAAUGGGUUAACCUGGUUUGAUGAGUUAACCCGGAAUUGUUUUUCUUUUUAAUUAAUUUUUUUCGUUUAGUUUAGUUUGUUAAUGUUAAAUUUCUUUCUAUUUAAUUAUCAGAUUUUCAUGACACGUAUCCCGGGCUUGACGAGUUAACUUGGUUUGACGGGUUAACCCAGUUAAUUCUGGGUAAACCCGUUAGUUUUUUUUUCUAUUUAGUUAGCAAACUUUAAUGACGCGGAUCCCAAGUUUGACGGGUUAACCUGGUUUGAAGGAUUAACCCAAUUAAUUCAGAUUUUUUUUCUUUUUCUUCAUUAGUUUUUUUUUCUUUGGUUUUUUUCUUUUUAAUUAAUAUAUUUAAUUAUCACACUUUUAUUGCACGACCUUAUAGCUAGACUCACAUCCAAUGCUCUUGGAUUCGGUGUUGCAGCCAGACUCACUUAAACUUAAGUUAUGUAAGUUUAAUAUUAUUAUUGAUAUUAUAAAUAUUACUCUUGGGUCAAGCGUUGUAGCCAAAGCCAAGAUUCUUGGGUAUGACUUUGCAGAAAGACCUAACAUUUUUAAAUCUUAAAUUUUUAAAUAUUUUUUAUGUUAAAAAAAUUUAACCCGCGGCAUCGCGCGGGUCAUGUAACUAGUAAAUUUUUAAACAGAGUGAACUUAAACUGUUCAAUUGGACACGAAUUUGUACUCAGUUUCAAAGAAAAUCAAUUUCAGAAAAGACGUCAAAAUUGAUCAGUACAAAAAAAAGGGCAAAAUUAAAUGUUUUUACUGGAUAAGAAUCUCAAAUUAAUUACACUGGUCAUCAAUUUAACCUUCGUGUAGAAGCAUGGCAGAUGCUGAAGAAGGUGCGGUGAACUGGGAAGAAUUAGUGUUGUAACUAUAACUUGAAGAUUUGUUCAUCCCUCCUUCAGAAUCUGUUAAGGCCAUAGGACAUUAUUGAAAGUGAAGAUGCAGAUAUUGGCGGGGCGAAAUAUGAUGGCACGGGCAUCUUUGAUGGGAGAAUAGGCAAUGGAGCAUCAAAAUUAAGUACGUGAAGUGCUUGCCGAAUUGAGGGUCUAAGAUGUUCAUCCGGAUGAGCACACGAAAGGCCGACAAUCAUCAAGCGUUCCAUCUGCGUCUUGUUAAAAUCUCCGCAUAGUCUUGGGUCAACUGCUUCAAGUAGCUUUCCUUCACCAUAGAGCUCCCAAACCCACUGCACCAUGGACACUCGAUCUUCAUUACUGGCCUUUGGGUUGAUAGGUUUUCUUCCACAAGCUAUCUCCAAUGCAACAAUUCCAAAACUGUAAACAUCUGACUCUCUGCUAGCCUUGCCUGUCAUUGCACACUCUGGAGCCAUGUAGCCCAUAGUCCCUGCCAAAACUGUUGUUUGAGAACCUUUUCCAUGGUCCACAAGCCUAGCCAAACCAAAAUCCCCAAGCUUAGCAUUGAAUUCUGAGUCCAAAAUAAUGUUGCUAGACUUUAUAUCUCUAUGCACCACACAUUGUUCCCAUUCUUCAUGCAAGUACAACAGCCCCGAUGCCAAGCCUUGCACGAUUUUGUACCUCACCUCCCAUGUCAACAAGCUAGUUUCUUUGAAAAGAUGGGAGUCUAAGCUGCCAUGAGACAUGAAUUCGUAAACAAGUAAAAGCUCCUUUCUUUCAUGACACCAACCAAUGAGUUGGACUAAGUUUCUGUGCCUCAAUCGGCUAAUGAUCUUUACCUCUGCUGCAUAUUCUUUAAUCCCUUGUUUAGAACCUCUUGAUACUCUCUUCACCGCAACGAAUGAAUCAAUGUCCUUCAAAAAACCUUUAUAGACACCACCGAACCCACCCUCACCUAGCUUCUCUUCAUCCUUGAAGUUACUUGUAGCUCGAGCCAAUUCUUGGUAAGAGAACUUCUUUGGUCCUGUUCCCCUUUCAAAUUCUUCAUCCAUGUACUCUUCAACGACAUGACCACCUUCUUCAUCUUCUUCGUGCCCACACAUAAACUUAAUAACAAACCCAACCAAAGCGGCCCCAACAACUAUAGCACCACCCCCAACACCCAAUCCAACUGCCAGUCCUGUCCUGUUCUUUUUCCGAUUCCUACGUGAACCACCAUUUGGCGGAGAAGCUGCAGCUGGAUCUAAUGUAUUGGUAUCUGGAUCUAUUGGAUUGGUAACAUUAUCAUCAAUUUCUAAUCUUGAACUAAAAUCCCACGAGUAAAGGGUAUGUAGGGCAGAUGCACUUCCUGUUGAAGCCGAAAAGCCAAAACUAACUCUUUCUGGUAGGUAAUCCCUCAAGCUAACUAUUUGACUAAGGAAUUGCAUUUCUACAGUGUUAUUUCUAUAACCGGUGAAGGCGACACUCAGAUUAUGUGUACUUGAACUAUAACUAAUCCAAGCGUCAGUUUUUAUCCCUCCACUAAUAUUACACAGCCAAGUAAUAUUAUUUACAGAUUGCAUAGAGUUGAUGUCAAUACCUACAUGCUCGCCUGGUGGAUCAAAAUAAUUUUUGUAGAUAUCGAACUCCACAGCAACAAAAUGAUUAUCCGUUGUGUUUAGUUGCUGAUCAUUCCUUGUAAGACCUAGACUUCGACCUUGAGAGAGAUUAGGCGGAAGCUUUGAUCCUUCUGGCGCAAGAAAGAAAGCCAAUCCAUCUCCGUAUGCACGUCGACCUUGCGAAUCGAUGGAAAAAGAGAAAUGGGUGGUGAAGUCUGUAAGAUUCCCUGAGGCCUUGUCCCAAAGCUGCAUCGGUUUGUAAUACGUGGCUCGACCGAAAAUUAAACUCAUAUUAGCAUUUCUUAGAUUUUUGGUGAGCUGAACAGCUCCUUCUGCGGGCUAUGCGUCCUGCUCGUAUGAAAUGUUUCGGUCGCCAACAAUGAAGCUGGUGAAGUUGAAAGAUAAUCCACUCGCAGAAGGGAUUAUUAGUGUGAAGAAAGUUGAGAAAACAAAAGGAAGAAAUGGAACAGGAAGCUUUCCCAUGAAGGAAGUUGAAAUUGUAGUGCUGCAAUGCUUGGGGGUUAGGAAAAUUGCACAAUUUCUUUGGUUAAUAAGGGCGGGUAUAAGUGUGUCUGUGGCGUUACUUUGCACGGUAAUGAAAUGUUUAUUUCCAACCACUGCAUGGACCUAAAAGACUUGUUCUUGCUGUGGGCUGAAGUGGGAGCCUGUGUUCAUUAGCAUUAGUUUAAGAGUUGUAGGACUUUCAAGAUAGGCUGCCGUUUGAAUUACUUGAAACCUUCUUGGCAAUUCACUUGUCUCUGCCGCCUCUGCAGUGUGAACCAAGUCAUUAAUUAAUAAUUUCUUUGUUUGGUUUGUAAAUAAAAAAAAUAAAAUUUAUUCAACGUUGAAAAGAAAUAUUAUUUUUUAAGUGUUUAUAAUUAUAUGUUCUUACGUAAAUUAAAUGAAAAAAAUCACAUGAACUCUUCAAAUCUGCUUCCUAAUCCUAUUAUAUAAAUAUUUAUAAUAUUAAAAUAAAAUAUUUGGCACUUUUGAUAUUAUAAUUAUAUCUAUUAAAUUAAUUCUUUUUUGAACUUAUUUAUUUUAAUUUUCCUAAUUAAUUUUAAUAUUUAUAAUUGUCGGGAUAAAAUUAAAUAAACAAUUAUUUAAUUUAAUUUAAGAUAUAAUUAUUUUUUAAACAGUCAUAUAAUUUUAUUAACAAUCAUAAUAUUUUAUUAUAAUGUUUUAAAUUUAUAUGAACAUGUUAUUACACAGAAAAAAAUAUAUACAAAACAAAUAUAUUUUCUUUUUUUUUUCUUAUUCUUUCAAAGAUUUAGAAGGUUUAGUUGUAUCUUAAAAGUGUUGUAUCUGUAUGAGACAAAUAAAUAUUUUAAAAACAGUGUUUUCACACCUCACAACCAGCUUUAUAUUUGUUUCCAUUCAAAAAAAAAAAAGAAGGGGUUUACUUUACCUAAAAAAAAAAAAAAAAAAAAACCUAAAAGAAGAAGGGGUUUUACUUUACCUCUUUUCACAUUACUCUAUUCAUUUAAAUACUGUUUUCUCUCUCUAAUUUGUGUUUUUUUUCAAUUUUAAUUUUAUUUUUUAACAUUAUAUUUAUAAGAGAUUGUGCUUCAUAAUUUUUUUUAAUUCAUUUUUUAUAAAGUUAUCUCAGAUCCAUGAUCCGGACCGCAGGUUUGACUGGUUAACUCUAUUGACUUGACUUUUUUUUUUCUUUUUCUAAUUAGCGUUUUUUUGUCAAUUUUAUCAUUUAACAUUAGGUUAACUAAAAAUUAGAUUUCACUAUUUGUUUCGGUUUAGUUUCGAUGAUGUUAUCUUCAUCUUAUGACUCGAGUCACAAGGUUGUCGAGUUAAUCCUGGUUUACUUGAAUUGUUUUUUUGUGUUUUUUUUAAUUGAUUUUUUUUUUAAUUUUUUUUUCAACACUAAGUUAAUUGGGAAUUAAGUUUCAUAUUUAUCUCAAUUUUAUUUUUAUUAUGUUAUCCUGGUCUCAUAACUCGAAUCACUAGUUUAACAGGAGUUGACUCGGGUUAUUUGUUUGAUAUUUUUUUUAUUGAUUUUUUUUUCAAUUUUUUCCUUCAAUAUUGAGAUUAUUGAAAAUUAAGUUUCAUAAUUUAUUUUGAUUCGCUUUCUAUAGGGUUGUCUCAAUUUUUAUUAAAAAAAUCACAUCUUAAAUAUUUAUUUUGAGUGAAAUUGUAUUUUUACUUGUCAUUUAGAUUGUCUUUUUAGAUCCGCUAAGAUGAUCGAGUCAUAUUAAAUCAAUUUCUACAUAAUCUUUUUUAAAAAAUGUAAUAUAAAAAAAUAUGAGCAAUAAACAGAACAAUUUUUUUACAUUAAAAAAAUAUCCUACCCGUACAGUGUAUGUGUCAAAUGAUCUAGUGACGCACUGAAUUAUUGUUCUGGGGAAAAAACUAAACAGAUAUACUUACUAGAAAGAAAGGAGACCCACGGCAGAAGUAGAGCAGCACCUGCAAAGCUAGGAACGAACAUUUUUAGAGAGAACAACAAAAUAGAGAAGCACUUGAAGACACAAAAUAACACAGUAUAAGUGUAGCAAAAGGUUAGUAAAGUGUUGUCCUGCUCGCUACAAACAGGAAAUCAGAAAUGAUUAAUACAGAAUAGCUAAUAUCCAUUGUUAGGAGGAGGUUGCCAGUUCUCUCUAAAACUACUCCUAGGCAAUGAAGAAAAUGUCAUAAUAUGGGUACAUGUAAUGCAGCUACUCAAACCAAUUCGUGUAUUUUAUCAGGCAUUCUCCAACGAUUACUGUUAUCAAUUAGCCUAACCCAGUUUUUAUCCAACAAUAUUAUUGCUUCUUUUAAGGUUUGUUUUCGAUUAUUCAACAUCAUCCAAGUUCUUACAGAACAAUGAUGGGCUGCAUUUCAUUAUGUACCAGCCUAUUACGAAUGUUGAGAUUUUUGUUUCGAACUGAUGGUAGAAUUCAACAGUAUCUAAAGUUCAUCAUCCACGGCAUUAUCACCGAGAUAACCUUUCAAUCUCCCCUCUAUAUCUCCUUCUCGCUAACUCAGGAAGUAUUAUAGAAGCACCUGUUACAACACCAAAAACGAAGUUACUGUUACAAAUAAAAGUAAGAUGAUUGAUUAUCUUGUGCAGAAUAUGAAUGGAGUUGGAACUGUGAUUAGUGAACAUUUAUGCAGGGACUGCUUUAGUCCCAAACUGUUUUACUGAAUUUUCCAGAACUUUCAAAACUAUGUUUCUUUGCAUUACUAAAAAAAUUAAGAGAAAAAAACCUAUAAUAAGGCAGGACAAUUUUGAAAUAAUUAAACAAUUUCCAUUAACUGUUCAAAGUUGACAGCUAGCUUCAACAGGAAAAAUAAAAGACGAAGCUGGAAUUAUCCAGAACUAGAGUANNNNNNNNNNNNNNNNNNNNNNNNNNNNNNNNNNNNNNNNNNNNNNNNNNNNNNNNNNNNNNNNNNNNNNNNNNNNNNNNNNNNNNNNNNNNNNNNNNNNCACUUAAUUAUUGGCUUAAAGGGGUCACCUGAUGGGAAGUCCUACAAAUUCUGAGCUAAAGGUUCUUCCAAUACUCAUAGGAGGCUAUUUUUUUUUCAGGGUAACCAACUUCUAAACAAAGUUUUAUCACAUAUAUAUGACUAGAGAAGAUAGAAAGUAUCUUUCUAACCUAUGAAUUUAACACACGCUGGUACCUUGAAGAGAUAAUGCUCCAAAUAUUAUGCACAAAAUAUAGACAAGGUAAUCCUUACCAGG